UAUGUGACGUUUCAGCUUCCUAUACUCUCAAACUCAAACUUCUCUCCCUCUCACUUGCGCAAACGAACAGCGCCGGAGAAAUUCUUUCUCCUCCGCCGUGACUCAAUUAACCGGACACCACCAUCUCAUCUCUCGAUUCCUCUUGUUCAUCCAUUACCUCAUACAUCUGAACCUAAUUUUCACGGAUUCAAUUCUCUUCGCCUCUAAUCUAAUGUAAAACGAAACCCUAGGUCUAAAUAAUUCAUGGAAAUCCAGAGAUGAUGAAGGUGAAUUCGGUGAUUGAUGAUUAGGGAGUACUGAUGCGUUGAUGAAUCGUGAUGGUGCAGGUGAAGUUCAACAUCGACGAUUGUUAAGUGCUUGGAGAAGGAAGAUGAUGGAUGCAGUCCGGUCGCAAAAACAUUGAUGAGUUCGUUAGCUGAGAAUUAUGGUGAUUCGGUUCUGAAUAAUGGAGAAGAAGAUUGAAGUUUUGUCAUGGUGUAGGGAUUCUGAGGGUUGAAGAGUUCUUGGUGAUUGAAGGAAGGGAGGAGUUUCCUUGAGAGGUUAGUUGUGAUUGAAUCGAGGGUUGAGGAAGAUGAAGAUAAGUUAUGGUUUGUGGAAAAAUGGUGAAGGAGGUGAAGGAGAUGGUGGAGAUGAUGAAAGGUGGAAGGUGAGAAAAAUGGUGGAGCUUCUCAAGGAUGAAGAGAGGUUCUGAGAUUUGGGAGAAGGUUUGGAAGAAUGGUGAAGAUGAGAGAAUUCAGAGAGAUUGGAGGGAGAUUGAGAGAAGAGAGAUGAAGAGAAUGGUUGGUGGAAGGGUGAAAAUGGUGGAGAGUUAGAGAGUGAGAGUGGAAUGAAGGUGGUGGUUCAGUUUAUAUAGUUGGAGAAUUUGCAGAAGUUAGUUACAAGAAAAGGAAAUCUGAGCCAAUGGAUUCAAUAGUUGGUUAGAGCUUGAAGGGUGAGAUUGAGUCAACUAUAAGGUUGUAAUGUGGGUCUUCUAUGCUCAUGUCAAAAUGCCAAGAUGACUUAGGACAUAUCAUAGUCAAAUUAUGGUGGGUAAUAAUGAAUGGAAUAUGAAGGCACGGUGAGGAAAGCUUGAAGCAUAGGUUACUAUAAUCCUUGAUUGUUCGCAAUGAAGCAGAGACGAAUCUUGAAGAUUAGUGACCAUAGGUUCAAACAGUGACGUAACCUUUAUUUCUUUUGUAAUAUAAGAUAGUGUAUCUUGAAUGUGAAACGAAUCUUAACUUUGAAUAUUUUUGCAACUUGUUCUCCAAAUAAUGAAAGAUAUCUCAUACUUUCCUUUCA
This is a long non-coding RNA of Vicia villosa (hairy vetch), 1278 nucleotides long. RefSeq lists it as uncharacterized. The record is from RefSeq and is a predicted model, not a curated record. The transcript has 2 exons. Lineage: Eukaryota; Viridiplantae; Streptophyta; Magnoliopsida; Fabales; Fabaceae.